UGGCGGACGGGUGAGUAACACGUUGGUGACCUGUCCUAGAGAGGGGGACAACCAUUGGAAACGAUGGCUAAAACCCCGGACGUCGAUUAUGUUAGAGGUAAUUGACUGAAACCUUGGUGCUCUAGGGUGGGCCAGCGGGCUACCAGCUAGUUGGUAAGGUAAAGGCUUACCAAGGCAAAGACGGCUAGGGGGCGUGAGAGCGUGGCCCCCCACAAUGGGACUGAGACACGGCCCAUACUCCUACGGGAGGCAGCAGUGAGGAAUAUUGCACAAUGGGGGCAACCCUGAUGCAGCAAUGCCGCGUGAGUGAAGAAGGCUUUCGAGUUGUAAAGCUCUUUUCUAGGUGAAGAGAGAGGACGGUAGCCUAGGAAUAAGUCCCGGCUAACUACGUGCCAGCAGCCGCGGUAAU
This 409-nucleotide ribosomal RNA is filed under the name uncultured bacterium. Its description in RNAcentral is "bacterial SSU rRNA". It matches the Rfam family "Bacterial small subunit ribosomal RNA", at positions 96 to 524 of the family's 1533-position model. The record is from RNAcentral.